ACUAUGUGAUGAGGUUUCAUAAAAAUCUCAAUAGACUAGACCUUGCCUGCCAAUGAACACAUCUGCAGAGGAGCCACCUGGAGGGACAAAUACACAAGGACUUGUCAGCUAUCCACCUGCCAGACUACUUCUCUUAAAGGCCCUGUGGGAAGCCCUCACAUACCACCCAGAAGAGAACCUGCUGAGUUCUGUGUGGCAGAAAGCAGGCAGGUAAGGGGACAGAGGGCUUCCCUGGUGGCUCAGACAGUAAAGCUUCUGCCUGCAAUCCCUGACCCUCUCCUGGCCAUCCCCCUCAUCAAACCAGAUAGCCCUGUUCCAC
Molecule: long non-coding RNA, 319 nt
Organism: Bos taurus (domestic cattle)
Lineage: Eukaryota; Metazoa; Chordata; Mammalia; Artiodactyla; Bovidae
Source: Ensembl